AAGGCAACAAGGCAUUCGGUUAUGAAGCACUCUCGAGGAGAGAUCGAUUGGCAAGACAGGAUGCACCUAGCUUGGUGGCCAACCUCGGUAUUGGGGUUGCUCGUUGGGAACUCGAGAAGUCCGACGAGGGAUUCGAUUACAGGCGAAGGGUCGGGCUGUAAGUCUCGCGGAGGAGCAAGCUUGGCAAAAUGCUUGGAUUGGUAUUCCGCUGUUAAGUCUGGGAGACUUGUCCGUGGAGAGGACUCGAGAAGGCUGG
RNAcentral lists this long non-coding RNA (256 nucleotides) under Ananas comosus (pineapple). RNAcentral's name for it is "long non-coding RNA (ACOM_LNC039041)". The record is from RNAcentral. Lineage: Eukaryota; Viridiplantae; Streptophyta; Magnoliopsida; Poales; Bromeliaceae.